This 459-nucleotide ribosomal RNA is filed under the name uncultured bacterium. RNAcentral's name for it is "partial 16S ribosomal RNA". It matches the Rfam family "Bacterial small subunit ribosomal RNA", at positions 338 to 795 of the family's 1533-position model. The record is from RNAcentral.
CCUACGGGAGGCAGCAGUGAGGAAUAUUGGUCAAUGGCCGGGAGGCUGAACCAGCCAAGUCGCGUGAGGGAAGACGGCCCUACGGGUUGUAAACCUCUUUUGUCAGGGAGCAAGGUGCAGGUCGGGACCUGCUGUGAGAGUACCUGAAGAAAAAGCAUCGGCUAACUCCGUGCCAGCAGCCGCGGUAAUACGGAGGAUGCGAGCGUUAUCCGGAUUUAUUGGGUUUAAAGGGUGCGAAGGCGGAGGCACAAGUCAGCGGUAAAAUCGCGGGGCUCAACCCCGCUCCGCCGUUGAAACUGUGUCCCUUGAGUGCGCGAAGGGUAGGCGGAAUGCGUGGUGUAGCGGUGAAAUGCAUAGAUAUAUGGAAGAACACCAGUGGCGAAGGCGGCUCUCUGGUCUGCAACUGACGCUGAGGCUCGAAAGCAUGGGUAGCGAACAGGAUUAGAUACCCCGGUAGUC